RNAcentral lists this ribosomal RNA (467 nucleotides) under uncultured bacterium. RNAcentral describes it as "partial 16S ribosomal RNA". It matches the Rfam family "Bacterial small subunit ribosomal RNA", at positions 28 to 507 of the family's 1533-position model. The record is from RNAcentral.
GACGAACGCUGGCGGCGUGCUUAACACAUGCAAGUCGAACGGAAAGGCCUCUUUCGGGGGGUACUCGAGUGGCGAACGGGUGAGUAACACGUGAGCAACCUGCCCUUGACUUUGGGAUAACUUCAGGAAACUGGGGCUAAUACCGGAUAGGAGCUCCUGCUGCAUGGUGGGGGUUGGAAAGUUUCGGCGGUUGGGGAUGGACUCGCGGCUUAUCAGCUUGUUGGUGGGGUAGUGGCUUACCAAGGCUUUGACGGGUAGCCGGCCUGAGAGGGUGACCGGCCACAUUGGGACUGAGAUACGGCCCAGACUCCUACGGGAGGCAGCAGUGGGGAAUAUUGCACAAUGGGUGGAAGCCUGGUGCAGCAACGCCGUGUGCGGGAUGACGGCCUUCGGGUUGUAAACCGCUUUCGCUCAUGACGAAGCUUUGUGUGACGGUAGUGGGUAAAGAAGCACCGGCUAACUACGUG